Molecule: ribosomal RNA, 503 nt
Filed under: uncultured bacterium
Lineage: Bacteria
Description: bacterial SSU rRNA
Rfam family: Bacterial small subunit ribosomal RNA
Source: RNAcentral
GACGAACGCUGGCGGCGUGCCUGACACAUGCAAGUCGGACGGUUCUUGCACCUUCAAGCUUGCUUGCUGGUGCAAGGAUAGUGGCGGACGGGUGAGUAACGCGUGAACAUCUACCCAUUGGAGGGGGACAACCCGUCGAAAGGCGGGCUAAUACCGCGUAAGCCGCGAGGUGAGAGGCUGCCUAUUGGUGGCCGCCGAUGGAUGGGUUCGCGUCCUAUCAGCUGGUUGGUGGGGUAACGGCCUACCAAGGCGAAGACGGGUAGCCGGUCUGAGAGGAUGGCCGGCCACACUGGAACUGAGACACGGUCCAGACUCCUACGGGAGGCAGCAGUGAGGAAUAUUGGUCAAUGGACGAGAGUCUGAACCAGCCAAGUCGCGUGAAGGAAGACGGUUCUAUGAAUUGUAAACUUCUUUUGUGCAGGAAUAAAGUGGGUUACGUGUAACCUUUUGUAUGUACUGUACGAAUAAGGAUCGGCUAACUCCGUGCCAGCAGCCGCGGUAAU